GUGAGGAAUAUUGCGCAAUGGUGGCAACUCUGACGCAGCCAUGCCGCGUGCAGGAAGAAGGCGCUACGCGUUGUAAACUGCUUUUAACCGGGAAGAAACCCCAGGACGUGUCCUGGGUUGACGGUACCGGAGGAAUAAGCACCGGCUAACUUCGUGCCAGCAGCCGCGGUAAUACGAAGGGUGCAAGCGUUAUCCGGAUUCAUUGGGUUUAAAGGGUGCGUAGGCGGAGCGUUAAGUCAGUGGUGAAAUCCUGCAGCUUAACUGUAGACUUGCCAUUGAUACUGGCGCUCUUGAGUGCGCUUGAAGUGGGCGGAAUGUGCCGUGUAGCGGUGAAAUGCUUAGAUAUGGCACAGAACACCAAUUGCGAAGGCAGCUCACUAAGGCGAUACUGACGCUGAGGCACGAAAGCGUGGGGAUCGAACAGGAUUAGAAACCCGGGUAGUCC
Molecule: ribosomal RNA, 445 nt
Filed under: uncultured bacterium
Lineage: Bacteria
Description: bacterial SSU rRNA
Rfam family: Bacterial small subunit ribosomal RNA
Source: RNAcentral